GCGCGUAGGCGGCUCGUUAAGUGUGGAGUGAAAUCCCCAGGGCUCAACCCGGGAACUGCUUUACAUACUGGCGGGCUGGAGGAUUGGAGAGGCUUGUGGAAUUCCUGGUGUAGCGGUGAAAUGCGUUGAUAUCAGGAGGAACACCCAUGGCGAAGGCAGCAAGCUGGCCAAUUUCUGACGCUGAGGCGCGAAAGCGUGGGUAGCAAACAGGAUUAGAUACCCUGGUAGUCCACGCCCUAAACGAUGGAUGCUAGGCGUAAGGGGUAUCGACCCCCCUUGUGCCGCAGCUAACGCACUAAGCAUCCCGCCUGGGGACUACGGCCGCAAGGUUGAAACUCAAAUGAAUUGACGGGGACCCGCACAAGCGGUGGAGCAUGUGGAUUAAUUCGAUACUAACCGAAGAACCUUACCCAGACUUGACAUCGAGAGAAAAGCGUAGAAAUGCGUUCCCCGGCUCAAAAGGCCGGCUCAAAGACACUUGUUGCAUGGCUGUCGUCAGCUCGUGCCGUGAGGUGUACGGUUAAGUCCGCCAACGAGCGCAACCCACGUCCUGUGUU
Molecule: ribosomal RNA, 557 nt
Filed under: uncultured bacterium
Lineage: Bacteria
Description: bacterial SSU rRNA
Rfam family: Bacterial small subunit ribosomal RNA
Source: RNAcentral